This 407-nucleotide ribosomal RNA is filed under the name uncultured bacterium. RNAcentral describes it as "partial 16S ribosomal RNA". It matches the Rfam family "Bacterial small subunit ribosomal RNA", at positions 30 to 526 of the family's 1533-position model. The record is from RNAcentral.
AUUGAACGCUGGCGGCAGGCCUAACACAUGCAAGUCGAGCGGAGCGGCGGACGGGUGAGUAAUGCCUAGGAAUCUGACUGGUAGUGGGGGAUAACGUCCGGAAACGGGCGCUAUUACCGCAUCCUCUCAGAUGAGGCUGGGUCGGAUUAGCUAGUGGUAGGGGUAAAGGCAUACCAAGGCGACGCUCCGUAUCUGGUCUGAGAGGAUGAUCAGUCACACUGGAACUGAGACACGGUCCAGACUCCUACGGGAGGCAGCAGUGGGGAAUAUUGGACAAUGGGCGAAAGCCUGAUCCAGCCAUGCCGCGUGUGUGAAGAAGGUCUUCGGGUUGUAAAGCACUUUAAGUUGGGAGGCGUUACCAACAGAAUAAGCACCGGCUAACUUCGUGCCAGCAGCCGCGGUAAUAC